AACAUUGUCAGUUAAAGCCUGGUUCACAUGGCAAGAUAAUAAGGCUGAUAUCAGACCCGAUGUUCCCCUUCCGACAAUCUUAAAGACGCCCCAACAAUUGUGAUGAUGCCAAAUAUCUUAUCAGAUAUUCCUGCUCUGUGUGGUUUGUAAGCGUGCUCUGAUCUGCUCAGAAGGAUGUGAGGAGCUAAAUGUGACAUACAGCCAAUCAGAAAGCAACGUGUCU
Molecule: long non-coding RNA, 223 nt
Organism: Thalassophryne amazonica
Lineage: Eukaryota; Metazoa; Chordata; Actinopteri; Batrachoidiformes; Batrachoididae
Exons: 3
Source: RefSeq, a predicted model, not a curated record